GGUGAGGUACAAAGUGCUUAGCUUCCAUGUGUAGCACCCACGAUAUCCUGAAUGCCCACUGUCCAUGGAUGGAUCGGGUUUUAUGGUCCCUUUCACUGCGUUAAGCGUCACAGUUUUGGUGGAAACAGAGAAAGGGGUGUGCAAGACCAGUCAGGCACAGUUCAUUGUCAAAGCUGCUCAGCUCCUAGCUAGAGUUUUCUGAGAUGUAAGCCUGGCUUUGAGGCUGCUGGAUGCAUUUAGGAAGCUGUCGGGCCACUCCUGCAGGGAUGGCUCACCGGAUAGAACUUGGUGACUGUGGAGAUGUGGGGAUAUCCCAGGUCCAGAGCCUAGUGACCCUUAGCUAGGGCUACCAUCACUUCCUUAAUAGCCAUUCUUCGCCAUCCGUGCCUGACUCACAAGUACAACUCGUUUUAAAUAUUUUAAAGGGCUUGCACCAACUGAGAAGCUAAGAAUGUCCUCAUGUGGCGCCUGAGGCCAAGAGCAGAGCUUCCUCUGCUUUGCUGUCCCAGAUGGCCUGGCCAAUCACCUGAGCAGAGAUGACCUCGUCAAGAAAAGCUUCCUACCCUAGAGGCUUUAGAGCUAGUGUAAAGUCUCCCUAAAAUGUUCAGAGCAACCAUAACUCGGUCAAUUCUCUCUCUCUCUUUCUUUACAACUCUCUGCCUAAUAAUCCUUGCCUGUUUUCUAUACUGUGCUUGGUGUGUCUCCUGACCUCACGGACACAAGGGCUGGGGAGCUGAGGAUAAGGCUUACAAAUUAGUAAUGGAUACAACAGCUAACAUGUGCCACAAUCUGGAUCUCAAACCAUUUUGAACACCGCGUUGGUGCUGCCUCCCACGCAGAACUGGGUGUAACAAAAGCUGCCGUACACUGGAAGAAAGUGCCCCACACUUGUGGAUUUUGGUCACGUGCAUGCAAGCACACAGACAAAGCCCUUUCAAAUAAAGGACCAAAAUGGAUGGGA
This is a non-coding RNA of Rattus norvegicus (Norway rat), 961 nucleotides long. The record is from RefSeq and is a predicted model, not a curated record. NCBI's taxonomy places the organism in Eukaryota, Metazoa, Chordata, Mammalia, Rodentia, Muridae.